RNAcentral lists this ribosomal RNA (253 nucleotides) under uncultured bacterium. RNAcentral describes it as "partial 16S ribosomal RNA". It matches the Rfam family "Bacterial small subunit ribosomal RNA", at positions 524 to 776 of the family's 1533-position model. The record is from RNAcentral.
UACGGAGGGUCCAAGCGUUGUCCGGAUUUAUUGGGUUUAAAGGGUACGUAGGCGGGAUUUUAAGUCAGUGGUGAAAGCCUCCAGCUCAACUGGAGAACUGCCAUUGAAACUGAGAUUCUUGAAUAUGGAUGAGGUGGUUGGAAUAUAACAUGUAGCGGUGAAAUGCUUAGAUAUGUUAUAGAACACCAAUUGCGAAGGCAGAUCACUAAACCAUUAUUGACGCUGAGGUACGAAAGCGUGGGGAGCGAACAGG